Molecule: transfer RNA, 79 nt
Filed under: Fibrobacter succinogenes subsp. succinogenes S85
Lineage: Bacteria; Pseudomonadati; Fibrobacterota; Fibrobacteria; Fibrobacterales; Fibrobacteraceae
Description: tRNA-Val
Rfam family: tRNA
About the family: Transfer RNA (tRNA) molecules are approximately 80 nucleotides in length. Their secondary structure includes four short double-helical elements and three loops (D, anti-codon, and T loops).
Source: RNAcentral
UGGUCGAUUAGCUCAGUUGGUUAGAGCGCUACCUUGACAUGGUAGAGGUCACAGAUUCGAGUUCUGUAUCGACCACUGA